ACCCGCUGAAUUUAAGCAUAUUGAUAAGGGUAGGAAAAGAAAACAACAGUGAUUCUCACAGUAACUGCGAGUGAAGUGAGAAAAGCCCCAACGUUAAAAAGCUAUAUCUGUAACAGGAUAUCGCAUUGUAACGUAUAGAUGUGUUCUCAAGGUGAAAGCUAGUGUCAAAGUUACAUAGAGUGGUACGCCAUAGAGGGUGAGAGCCCCGUGUAUGACACUUGCAUUAAUUUUGCCAAGUAGACACAAUCUAAGAGUCGUGUUGUUUGGGAAUGCAACACAAAGUAGGUGGUAAACUUCACCUAAGGCUAAAUACGGACACGAGACCGAUAGCAAACAAGUACCGUGAGGGAAAGUUGAAAAGUACUCUGAAAAGACAGUGAAAAGCACGUGAAACUGUUCAUGGGGAAGCAGACGGUAGAAUCGAAGCAUGCUAUUGAUAUUGUACUAGUCAUUGGUGAGUCCCGCUUAUACUAGUGCUCCUCAAUAGUGUAGCGCGCUGAGCUUGUCGUGGUUAGUGUGUGUGAAAGCACGCACUGUAAAUGUACGCCUUAGUUGUCAGUGUGAGGAAGAAGGUAUUGAAUCAUCGAUGCCAGCAUUUCUUGCAAGUCAAUUAAAGGUAUGAGUGCAUAACAUGACAAUGGCCAAUAGGAAAGGCAACUUGUGGAAGUGAUUUAGCAUUUGCUAUAAUGGUGCGUUGUUAAACCACUGCUGUAGUUGAUGUUGGAUUGCCAAAUGAGUUUAUUCUCAGCGAGAUAUGCUGCUGUCUGACCCGUUUUGAAACACGGACCAAGGAGGCUAACGUAUACGCGAGUCGAGGGGAUAUGCCGUUAGUGGCGUUAUAUUUUAAAACCCUAUGGCGUAACGAAAGUGAAAAGCAAUAUCUUCACAUGAGAUGAUGUUGGUGAAGAGCAUUGCUGGCCAGUUGAGUUCAUUGGAACUAUGAUUGAGCAGGAGCGUAUGCGAUAGGACCCGAAAGAUGGUGAACUAUGCCUGAGUAGGGCAAAGUCAGAGGAAACUCUGAUGGAGGCUCGAAGCGGUUCUGACGUGCAAUUCGAUCGUCAAACUUGGGUAUAGGGGCGAAAGACUAAUCGAACCAUCUAGUAGCUGGUUCCCUCCGAAAUAUCCCUCAGGAUAGCUGGAGCCUGAUCCAAAAGCAGUUUCAUCGGGUAGAGCGAAUGAUUAUAGGUAUUGGGAUCAUAACAGAUCCUAACCUCUUCUCAAACUGCGAACCGGUGAGAAAAGUAGCGUUGCUUAAUUGAACGCUGCUGGCUUAGAAUGCUAGGGUUCCAAGUGGGCCGUUUCUGGUAAGCAGAACUGGCGAUGCGGGAUGAACCGAGAGCCAGGUUAAGGUGCCUAAAUAGACGCCAAAGGACACCACUAAAGGAGUUGGUCGAUGAAGACAGCAGGACGGUGGCCCUGAAAGUAGGAAUCCGCUAAGGAGUGUCUAACAACUCACCUGCCGAAUCGACUGGCCCUGAAGAUGGAUGGCGCUUAAGCGUUUUACCGAUACCUGGCCAUCAGCAUUAGUGUGUGAGAAAUGUUGAUGGGUAGGAGGGCGCAAUGAUAGCGGCGAAGAGUAUAGCGUAAGCUUGCUUGGAGCUGUCAUUGGUGCGGAUCUUGGUGGUAGUAGCAGUUUAUUCAAGUGAAACGCUUGAAGGCCGAAGUGGAGAAGGGUUCCGCGUAAACAUCAUUUGAACGCGGGUUAGUCGGUCCUAAGUGGCAGCUUACGUGCUGAGAUAUACAAAGGGGAAGUGUGAUAUGUAUGCAACUCUAUAUGUAACAGUGUAGUUUUCUGCAUAUUGCUCUCUCAUGCCGCGAAAGGGAAUCAGGUUAAUAAUCCUGAACCGAGUCACGGAUAGUUUGUAUGAUGUGUUUAAGUAAGUGAUGUUGACACGCCUUUAGGGGUGUUGAUAUUGCUCUUAUUUGCGUUGUACAGAUGCAGCGGUAACGCAAACGAACUCAGAGACAUCUUAGGCAGUCCUAGGAAGAGAUAUCUUUUCUAUUUAACGAAAUGACGCCCUGGAAUUGAGUUACUCAGAGAUAGGGCUGAGAUUUCGGAAGAGCAUCGCACUUAAUGGCGAUGUCUGGUGCGCUGUCUAAGGUCCUUGAAAAUCUGAGGGAGUGAAUGAUUUUCGUGCUCGGCCGUACCGUAAUCCGCAACAGGUCUCCAAGGUGAAUAGCCUCUGGCACUAGAACAAUGUGGGUAAGGGAAGUCGGCAAAAUAGAUUCGUAACUUCGGGAUAAGGAUUGGCUCUAAGGGUUGGGCUGGUCGGGCUAUUCGCUUAAUUCUUUGUGUGUUCGUUUUUGAGUCUAGCCACAAUUCUAUGCUGCUGCUGCUUCUUUUCCCUCGGGCAAAGGAGCUGUAUUGUGUGUGUAGGAUUGCUGCUGGGUUUGAUGACGAAUGAGCCAGGUUAGGUGGUUAGCUUGGUGCAUUAUGCAAUGUUACUCGCGUAAUGUUGUGUUAGUGCAUCCUUGCGGCUAGCUAAGAUCAACCGACUUAGAACUGUCACUGACUAGGGGAAUUCGACUGUUUAAUUAAAACAAAGCAUUGCGAUGGCUGGAAACGGUGUUGACGCAAUGUGAUUUCUGCCCAGUGCUCUGAAUGUCAAAGUGUGGAGACACAACCAAGCGCGGGUAAACGGCGGGUGUAACUAUGACUCUCUCAAGAUAGCCAAAUGCCUCGUCAUCUAAUUAGUGACGCGCAUGAAUGGAUCAACGAGAUUCCCACUGUCCCUACCUACCAUCUAGCGAACCCACAGUCAAGGGAACGGGCUUGACUGAGACAGCGGGGAAAGAAGACCCUGUUGAGCUUGACUCUAGUUUGAUAUGGUGAGGAGACAUGAGAGGUGUAGCAUAGGUGGGAGAUUGUUAGCUUCAAUGUUGGCAGUCGAUCCUGAAAUACCACCACUUUCAUUGUUUCCUCACUUAGUCGGUGAUAAGGGAAGUGCCCGAUGGAAGUGUAAACAUUAACACUACAUGCCUCGGGUUAAACCGAGUGUAUGUAGUGUCUUGGUGAGCAUGGAAGUCGGUGUCACGAAUAUGAAGUAUUGUAAGGCAAAUGGUGGUGCUAUGAUCACACACACUUAAUUGGUACUCAUCUUUCGGGGUGUUGUGGCUGGUUAUUUGUUGUGAGUGUGGUACACGUUAAGUGUUUGCUGACCCCAACUAUGUUUAUGCAGUGAUGUGUGAACGUAUGUGUGACCGAUGACAGUGUCAGAUGGGGAGUUUGGCUGGGGCGGUACACCCUCUAAAGUGCAACGAGGGUGUCCAAAGGUGAGCUCACCGUGGACAGAAACCACGGGUAGAGUAUAAGGGCAAAAGCUCGCUUGAUUUUGAUUUUCAGUAUGAAUACAAACCACGAAAGUGUGGCCUAGCGAUCCUUUAUUAUGACCUGAGAGUUUCAGGAUAGAGGUGUCAGAAAAGUUACCACAGGGAUAACUGGCUUGUGGCUGCCAAGCGAACAUAGCGACGUAGCUUUUUGAUCCUUCGAUGUCGGCUCUUCCUAUCAUUGCGCAGCAGCGUACGCAAAGUGUUGGAUUGUUCACCCAUUAACAGGGAACGUGAGCUGGGUUUAGAC
This 3577-nucleotide ribosomal RNA is filed under the name Myxidium cuneiforme. Its description in RNAcentral is "eukaryotic LSU rRNA". It matches the Rfam family "Eukaryotic large subunit ribosomal RNA", at positions 23 to 2968 of the family's 3401-position model. The record is from RNAcentral. Lineage: Eukaryota; Metazoa; Cnidaria; Myxozoa; Bivalvulida; Myxidiidae.